RNAcentral lists this long non-coding RNA (1234 nucleotides) under Macaca fascicularis (crab-eating macaque). Its description in RNAcentral is "lncRNA (ENSMFAG00000049553.1)". The record is from RNAcentral. Lineage: Eukaryota; Metazoa; Chordata; Mammalia; Primates; Cercopithecidae.
UGGUGCAACCCCGUUUCUAGUAAAAAUGCAAAAAUUAGCAAGGUGUGGUGAUGUGUGCCUGUAAUCCCAGCUUCGGAUCUGAGGUGGGAGAAUCACUUGAGCCUAGGAGACUGAGGCUGCAGUGAACCAAGAGCACGCCACUGCACUCCAGCCUGGGUGACAGUGAGACUGUCUAAAAAAAUAUUUUGGUAGAUAUCAUUGGUAUAUUCUCACCACACACACACAAACACAAAACCUGACCAAAUUUUAAUAAAUAAAACAAAAAGCUUACAUAACAUCAAAUCUAAAAAUUCACGUGGUAUUUUCAUCUGCUUCUUACAUAUAGAGCUUUAAAGCUUACUAACAGACUUUUUUUUUUUUUUUUGAGACAGAGUCUUGCUCUGUCGCCCAGGCUGGAGUGCAGUGGCCAGAUCUCUGCUCACUGCAAGCUCUGUCUCCCGGGUUUUACGCCAUUCUCCUGCCUCAGCCUCCCUGAGUAGCUGGGACUACAGGCGCCCGCCACCUCACCGGGCUAGUUUUUUGUAUUUUUUAGUAGAGACGGGGUUUCACCGUGUUAACCAGGAUGGUCUCGAUCUCCUGACCUCGUGAUCCGCCCGUCUCAGCCUCCCAAAGUGCUGGGAUUACAGGCUUGAGCCACUGCGCCCAGCCACUAACAGACUUUUAAAAAAAAACAUACUUUACUCAUUUCCAUCUAAAUCUUUCCAAAUAACAUACUCACCUUUGGUGUAGAAAUUUCUUGCCUUCCUAACACUUACUGGCCUUGUAUUUUUUGACGUUUUCAUUCUCAAUGGGGUGGAAUGGCUAAAUGUGUAGGUGGUGGAAUCAUACUGCCUGGGUUUCAAUCCUGGCUCUGCUGCUUACCAGCUGUGUCACUGGAGCAAGUUGCUUAACCUCUCUGAGACUUUGUUUCCUCAUCUGUAACAUGUUGGUAGUUACAGUAAUGUCUCAGAAUUGUUGUGAGGAAUAAGAGUUAAUACAAGGAAAGCAAAGUACCUGGCAUAUUGUGCUCCAUAAGUGAAAUCACUACCAUGAUUUUAAUAACUUCUUUAGCCUGGGCUACAUGGCGAAACCUCACCUCUACAAAAAAUACAAAAAUUAGCCAGCUGUGAUGGUGCAUGUCAGCUACUCAGGAGGCUGAGGUGGGAGGAUCAUCUGAGUCUGCAGUGAGCCGUAAUUGUGCCACUGCACUCCAGCCUGGGUGAUACAGUAAGGUCCUGUCUCAAAAAAAAAAAAA